AUACGGAGGAUCCGAGCGUUAUCCGGAUUUAUUGGGUUUAAAGGGUGCGCAGGCGGCCAUUUAAGUCAGCGGUUAAAUCGUGGGGCUCAACCCCAUUCUGCCGUUGAUACUGGGUGGCUUGAUUGCGGCCGAGGUUGGCGGAAUUCGUUGUGUAGCGGUGAAAUGCAUAGAUAUGACGAAGAACACCGAUUGCGUAGGCAGCUGACCAGACCGCAAAUGACGCUCAUGCACGAAAGUGCGGGGAUCGAACAGGAUUAGAUACCCUGGUAGUCCGCGCAGUAAACGAUGAAUACUUGUUUUCGGCGAUAUAAUGUCGGAGGCAAAGCGAAAGCGAUAAGUAUUCCACCUGGGGAGUACGCCGGCAACGGUGAAACUCAAAUGAAUUGACGGGG
This 392-nucleotide ribosomal RNA is filed under the name uncultured bacterium. RNAcentral's name for it is "partial 16S ribosomal RNA". It matches the Rfam family "Bacterial small subunit ribosomal RNA", at positions 523 to 918 of the family's 1533-position model. The record is from RNAcentral.